This 31-nucleotide ribosomal RNA is filed under the name Enterovibrio norvegicus DSM 15893. The record is from RNAcentral. Lineage: Bacteria; Pseudomonadati; Pseudomonadota; Gammaproteobacteria; Vibrionales; Vibrionaceae.
UUCCCCAUGUGAGAGUAGGACAUCGCCAGGC